This 504-nucleotide ribosomal RNA is filed under the name uncultured bacterium. RNAcentral describes it as "partial 16S ribosomal RNA". It matches the Rfam family "Bacterial small subunit ribosomal RNA", at positions 29 to 523 of the family's 1533-position model. The record is from RNAcentral.
AUUGAACGCUGGAGGCAGGCCUAACACAUGCAAGUCGGACGGUAGCACAGAGAGCUUGCUCUUGGGUGACGAGUGGCGGACGGGUGAGUAAUGUCUGGGGAUCUGCCCGAUAGAGGGGGGUAACCACUGGAAACGGUGGCUAAUACCGCAUAACGUCGCAAGACCAAAGAGGGGGACCUUCGGGCCUCUCACUAUCGGAUGAACCCAGAUGGGAUUAGCUAGUAGGCGGGGUAAUGGCCCACCUAGGCGACGAUCCCUAGCUGGUCUGAGAGGAUGACCAGCCACACUGGAACUGAGACACGGUCCAGACUCCUACGGGAGGCAGCAGUGGGGAAUAUUGCACAAUGGGCGCAAGCCUGAUGCAGCCAUGCCGCGUGUAUGAAGAAGGCCUUCGGGUUGUAAAGUACUUUCAGCGGGGAGGAAGGCGGUGAGGUUAAUAACCUUGCCGAUUGACGUUACCCGCAGAAGAAGCACCGGCUAACUCCGUGCCAGCCGCCGCGGUAA